UAUUUAAUUUAUGAGUGCCCUCUUU
This 25-nucleotide non-coding RNA is filed under the name Mus musculus (house mouse). RNAcentral also lists the same sequence under 1 other name. Lineage: Eukaryota; Metazoa; Chordata; Mammalia; Rodentia; Muridae. The record is from RNAcentral.